RNAcentral lists this long non-coding RNA (628 nucleotides) under Equus caballus (horse). Its description in RNAcentral is "lncRNA (ENSECAG00000059821.1)". Lineage: Eukaryota; Metazoa; Chordata; Mammalia; Perissodactyla; Equidae. The record is from RNAcentral.
AUUUUUCUUUUUUUUUAGGGUAUGAUUAAUUAAACAUCUGUAUCCUAGUUUAUAAAUAUUCUUGUAACCUUGGUUUUCCAGGAAAGAUCUGAUUAGAAAUCAGCUGUUUCUUAUAGAAGAUCAAUUGUUUCAUAGAAGCUGAGAGAGAGAGUCAGAGAGUUAUGAAAACUCCUCUCAUGACAGUGGAAGUGGUAAUGGGUUGUGCCUUUGCCUAGAUCAGAAGACAAACUAGGUCCAAAUGCUUGACCUGCUGCACAAGGCCUGGGAAGAGCCUGGGAAGAGCCUGGGAAGAGCCUGGGAAGAGCCUGGGAAGAGCUGAGCAGCUGAGUGGCCGGGCCAGGGUGAGGUUCUGUACCUUCUCUCUGCUCCUUUCACCCUCCUGCUCAGCCACCUCAGUUGAGACUGGCUCCCAGCGGAGCAUGCAACUUCUUCCUGUCAAAACUAGGCCUAGAAAGAAGGCCUGGUAAAGCCAUCCAUGCUGAGGCCUUCAAACUUAGACUAGAACUUACACCAUCAGUUCUCCUGGUUGUCAGGCCUUUGGAUUCGGACAGUAUCUACAUCACCAGUUUUCCUGGGUCUCCAGCUUGCAGAUGGCAGAUAGGACUUCUCAGCCUUCACAAUUGUGUCA